GCUGACACAUCCCGGCCAAUCUCCAGCAGACCCUCCCUCCCAGACCCUCCCACCUCCUGGACAGCAUCCAUGUUGAAGCUGCCUUCAACAUGGAUGCUGUCCAGGAAGUAGGAGGGUCUGGGAGGGAGGGUCUGCUGGAGAUUGGCCGGGAUGUGUCAG
RNAcentral lists this microRNA precursor (159 nucleotides) under Pelobates cultripes (western spadefoot toad). Lineage: Eukaryota; Metazoa; Chordata; Amphibia; Anura; Pelobatidae. The record is from RNAcentral.